Myodes glareolus (Bank vole) is the source of this 1947-nucleotide long non-coding RNA. RefSeq lists it as uncharacterized. NCBI's taxonomy places the organism in Eukaryota, Metazoa, Chordata, Mammalia, Rodentia, Cricetidae. The record is from RefSeq and is a predicted model, not a curated record.
CCUGAUGGAUGGACAGAAACCUAGACAACAUUCUCUUAUCUGUUUUUGUUGGGGUUUUUUUUGUUUUUUUUUUGUUUUUCUUAAUAAUUCUAAUGCUCACACUCCUACAUUAGAAUUUGUGAAUCCAGUCGUAUAUGGCUCAGCUUUUCUGAACCUCAUUUUUCUUUUACACACACACACACACACAGUGGGACUCAGGUCCCUGGACUCUGGAAAGAUAGUCGCUUCCUAUGGCAGACCAGAGAGGACCCCUGUACACUCUCUGAGCUCCUUUUACAAGGCUGCCUCCUCAGGAAGGCCCUGGUGUUCCUAGCAGACCAAUGGAAAAGAAUGAGUAUCUCUGGUUCCUCCAGAAGGGUCUAUCUCCUUGUACCUAGACCUCAUAUUCAAAGAGCUGCCACUCUGUAGAAUCUGCUACCGGACAUUCCUUUAAUCAAACAUUGGGUGUUACUUUAGGAACUUGCUAGAUACCAGACGUGGUGAUGAUGCAUGCCUUUAAUCCCAGCACUCAAGAGGAAGAAGCAGGCAGAUCUCUAUGAAUUUGAAAUCUACAGAGUGAGUUCCAGAACAGCCAAAGAUACACAAAGAAUCCCUGUCUUGAAAAACAGAAACAACAACAAAAAGAACUUGCUAAGCAUCAAGGGUGCCUCUGAUGUCCACAUUAAUCUCCCCUCCAGUCAGCCCAUCAGUAGACAUGGGCAUCCUUCCAGCACAGAAGAAGUAGAAUGCUCUGAGCCCCACCAGGCAGUGUGAAAACAGAGAAACUGAGUCAAAUAUGAUUCUGAUAGCGUUGGCAUUUAACUGAGUGCUUCCUAUUGCCACGCAUAGCCUGUCCUAUGGCCUAGUGCUUCCUAGUGAAGCAAAUACUGCAUUUAUUUGGACCUGGGCCACUAUGUCUCCUGUCAUCACAGAGUACGAUAGGAAUGGUACCCCCUGCAGUGGCAAGAGACCUGAGUGACUUAUGCAGAGCUCAUUUGACAGAUGGAGAAGAAAAUAGCCUUUGAAAGUAAGAUACCAUGCAGAAGUUCACACAGGGACCAAAACCCCAGCCAGCCCCACCCCAUCCUGAUACUGGAGGUCAAGACUGACCUGGGUUCUUGCCAAAACACAACCCUUGCUCCCUAUAUCCAGCUCCUUCCUGUUUUCACCAAGAGGUCUCACUCAUUGGGAGUAUCAAGACUUUCCCAGUGCCCUGUCCCCUUCCUGGAGAAGACUCUUGGCCUUGAGCAACAUCACAGAGCCUCUGAAGGAGGUGCUUGACGAUCUGCCCUCACUGAGAACAUGUCCCUGGCUUUGAGGCCUGGCACUGAUGACCCCGAUGUGGCAGCUGCUGAUUUGGGAGCCUUAAUUAUUUAGAGAAUGCAUACUAUUCAGCCCAUUGGCUCUGUUUUGAGUUCAGAAGCGAAAUGCCCUGGGGAUUGUUUCCAGUGAAGAACAAGAUUCCACUUGUCACAGAGACUAAAGAUGAGAGCUUGGUCCUGGAAGGGACUGCAGUCACGGGGCGUUUGCAAACAUUCUAGAAGAGUAGGAGGCCAGCAGACUGCUUUGGGGGUCGGUCCCUGCUCAGCUGUCCCGGGAAAGCGCUUCUCUUGCCUUCUUAGAGAUUCUGCCCUCUGAGGGUUCCCAUUGUUGGAACAGGGUCCAUGAUCGACGCUGUGUGAGAUUUCUGAGCCUGCGAGAAAACUCCAAGUAAACAAGAAUCUUAUGACCUCUGCUCCUUCAUCACAUGGGUUGUUUUUUGGAUGUGCGUUCAUGCCCCUCCCAGGGGUGGCAGAUGGGAGUGAGUUAACUUCAGAUUAUUCAAUGCGCUGGCCAUUGUUUGUUUAUAUGCCUCUGUGAAAAAAACAUGUUUCUGCCUUGUGCGACUUGUCUUGUGACUGAAACUCGGGUGAUUCUUCAGAGUAUAAACUGUCCGAUGCUCUGAAUAAAGCUGGCUAUUGCAUGAGA